Molecule: ribosomal RNA, 413 nt
Filed under: Bembidion tetracolum
Lineage: Eukaryota; Metazoa; Arthropoda; Insecta; Coleoptera; Carabidae
Description: SSU rRNA
Rfam family: Eukaryotic small subunit ribosomal RNA
Source: RNAcentral
CUCCAGCUCUAAUAGCGUAUAUUAAAGUUGUUGCGGUUAAAAAGCUCGUAGUUGAAUCUGUGUUCUGCGCUGUCGGUUCACCGCCCGCGGUGUUAACUGGCACGUCUCGCAGAACGUCCUGCCGGUGGAUGUGUGUCCUUUGUCUACUUGCCCAUUAUGCGUGUGCAACUUCGGUUGUUACUGUAUAGUGCGUGUAAGGGUCAAAUGUGUCACCAUCCGACUCAAUAAUCCUGUCGCGGUGCUCUUAACUGAGUGUCGAGGCGGGCCGGCACGUUUACUUUGAACAAAUUAGAGUGCUCAAAGCAGGCUAAAAUUUUGCCUGAAUACUGUGUGCAUGGAAUAAUGGAACAGGACCUCGGUUCUAUUUUGUUGGUUUUCGGAACCCCGAGGUAAUGAUUAAUAGGGACAGAUGG